GCUGGUCGAUGGAGUCCUCCAGCAGCUCCAUGCAGUCCUCGUACGCCGCCCGUGCGAGCUUCUCCAUCUGUAGGUUGGCGACGGCGGCGGCGUGGUAGAACGCCCUGCCGACGCGCCGCAGCGUCACGUUCACGGCGACGUGGACGAGCUCGCUCUCGGGGACGGCCAUGGCGCCGGGGAAGUCGAGGAGGGAGGAGAUGCAGAGGGUCGGGUAUCGGGUCAUGGCGCAGGUUCUGGAGAUGGCCUCGCUGGGCUUGGCGAGCUGCUCAUUCUUCGAGCGUCUGGCAGCGAGGAGGAUUCCCACGGAGGCGGCGGCACCGCCGGCGAGGAGGACGAGAACUGCGGCUAGGGAGCCCAGGAGGAGGCAGCGCCGCCGGCGCCGGGGCCGUUCCUGAGGGGGCGGGGGAAUGCCGGGCCCGGCGGCGGCGGCGGCGGCACGGAAGGACUCCGAGGGGACUAAUUUCCCGUAAUUCAUCCUUCCUCCGCCCCAGAAGGUCGACUUGGUUCUGUGAGAGAGUCGGAGUAAGAGGAGGAGAUAUGGGAAGAGGAGCGUCUCUACACCUGCUGUUAGAGAG
This 575-nucleotide long non-coding RNA is filed under the name Spirodela polyrhiza (greater duckweed). RNAcentral describes it as "long non-coding RNA (SPOL_LNC000786)". Lineage: Eukaryota; Viridiplantae; Streptophyta; Magnoliopsida; Alismatales; Araceae. The record is from RNAcentral.